This 390-nucleotide ribosomal RNA is filed under the name Grammonema sp. RNAcentral's name for it is "partial small subunit ribosomal RNA". It matches the Rfam family "Eukaryotic small subunit ribosomal RNA", at positions 582 to 975 of the family's 1831-position model. Lineage: Eukaryota; Bacillariophyta; Fragilariophyceae; Fragilariales; Fragilariaceae. The record is from RNAcentral.
AUUCCAGCUCCAAUAGCGUAUAUUAAAGUUGUUGCAGUUAAAAAGCUCGUAGUUGGAUUUGUGGUUGGGUCCGUCGGACCGGCACAUUGUGCGGGUACUUGAUGGACUCGUCCAUCCUUGGGUGGAAUCUGUGUGGCAUUAAGUUGUCGUGCAGGGGAUGCCCAUCGUUUACUGUGAAAAAAUUAGAGUGUUCAAAGCAGGCUUAUGCCGUUGAAUAUAUUAGCAUGGAAUAAUGAGAUAGGACCUUGGUACUAUUUUGUUGGUUUGCGCACCGAGGUAAUGAUUAAUAGGGACAGUUGGGGGUAUUCGUAUUCCAUUGUCAGAGGUGAAAUUCUUGGAUUUUUGGAAGACGAACUACUGCGAAAGCAUUUACCAAGGAUGUUUUCAUUA